Molecule: long non-coding RNA, 2019 nt
Organism: Ostrea edulis (European flat oyster)
Lineage: Eukaryota; Metazoa; Mollusca; Bivalvia; Ostreida; Ostreidae
Exons: 3
Source: RefSeq, a predicted model, not a curated record
UGCCAAGUAAAAAUAUUACAGAAAGAGUACAUGAUUUGUCUGUUUUUACGUUGCAAAGAAAGUAUGUCACACCCUGAUGAUUGCUGAUACUACUUGAAGCAAAGUUCUACAAAUCAUGGUGUAAUAAAAACACCCUAUAUUAGCUUUUCACGGGCGUAUUAUGUACCGUUGGCGGUACUCUUGUUAAAUCUCUAUUGAUAUCCAUCGAAUGACCGGUUUUUAAAGUCUUUAUUUAUAUCAAGCACGAGGUAGUCCAGAUUUCUCCUUUCUAUUAUAAUUCUCUUUUGUAAUAAAGAAAAUUAUAUCCAGAAGGCAAGACUGGACAAUUUUGUGUUGUUGAUGAAAGUCAUAAAUCUGCAAAAAACUAUACCAGCCAUGUGAUAAUUGAAGAGCGUUUUUUGAAGAUGGAAAAUAAAAUUAUCGAAAUUGGGACCAUACAACUUUAACAAGUUCAAGUAGUAUAAAUAGGGGUGUAUUCGAUUAAGCGACUCAAGUUGCACGGAUUUUACUCCCGACCAAUCGAACGCCGAGAGUUAACGAUUCGUGUUAUACACGACUGACACGAGUAUACUCUCCAAUUUUCCAGGAGUAUAAGAGUUGAAAGAUGGCGGCAAAAGGGAAUUACCAGUAAGUCAGCUUGUAAAAAAUCAUCUAUUUUGAGCAGAAUAUGGUGUUUAAGUAUAUGUUCGCUAGUACAUUUAGAAAAUGUAUAUAUUUUGAUUUUAAUAAUAGCAAUUAUUAAUCAAAUGACAAAUUAGAAAUUGAUGAAUAUGCUUAAUGCAUCUUUUAUAAAUUGCUGCGGCAUGUGAUUUUCCCCUUUUAUUGUUAUUUUAAAAUGUUUUUCGUGCUAUAUUAUAUAAAAAAAAAUUAAUAUUUUGACACCGCAAAAUUAAUCCUGUAAAUUACGUUGACUUUUGCAAUUGCAAUAUUCAUACUAAUUUUAAUCAAUUCGUCAUUCCUUAGCUUCUUAAUAUCUAUAAAUAUUGAUGGUAAAGAGUACCAGGUCAUGGGCAAUUGAUCUUAUAGAGAUGCUUAAUUCAGACGGAAGAAAGAAAGCUGUCUUUGUUUUAACAGACCAGAGAAGAAAAGACCACGCACUUGAACUUGUAAGAGCAAGUUGUCAUAUUGAUGACUGCACAAAAUCAUGUGGUGCAUAAUGCAGAAUCUGAGCAACCUGACCAAAAGGUUUGGAAUAAGGAAAACAUAAAGACAUUAGAAGCAAAAAGGAAAAAGAAUUUUAACAGUAACAAAGUCCAUAAAUCUCUUUGGGAAAGUGUGUGUAAGGAAUUAUCUGAUGUUGGUGUAACAACCACUGCAACACAAUGCAUGAACAAAUGGAAGGCGAUGAAGUUGACAAUAAUGCGCAAACAGGAGCAGAAAAGAAAACAUGUCCAUUUUUAAAGCAGUUUGGAGAAUUUUAUGGACAUAAAAGUGAUACCCAACCCACAUAUACAUUGUCUUCAGGAAUCCAACAAAAUGAGUAUUCAAAAAAUGAAAAUGAUGAAGAAGCAGAGGGUUCUAAAGAUUAUAAUUCCUCGAACGUUGUACUCCUUCGAAGAGGAAACCUCUCAAGCGCAAGAAGAAUAACCAAUAUGCAAUCUUUGCUUUUGAGGAAACCACAAAAAGACAAAAGGAAUACAGAAAAGAAAGGUUGGAGGUUUUAAAAAAGGAACCUGGGGAAAUAAUGAACCCGAUGGAGAAACAUAUUGAAUACCUACAAUCAAAGCAGCCUAAAACUGAUCAAUAAUUGAUAAGUACAUGUAAUUGUAAAUAAAUAUCAAUUGCGUCUUUGUAGAUAAUUAGAAAAAUACGGAUACAACUUGAAUUUUAUUACUUCACCAAGAGUAAUGAGGACUACUGCAAGGACUUGCAGAUGUAUUUUUUCCAACUCCCAAAGUAACAAAGUGUUUUAACUCACCCUUUUUAUAUUGUACACCUGAAAUGCCAAUAGAAAAAGUUGAUGAUUCGUUGUCAUGUGAAAUUUCCACCAGGUGUAUUAAACCAGAUACUUUACUUAAA